RNAcentral lists this long non-coding RNA (200 nucleotides) under Elaeis guineensis (African oil palm). RNAcentral describes it as "long non-coding RNA (EGUI_LNC037595)". Lineage: Eukaryota; Viridiplantae; Streptophyta; Magnoliopsida; Arecales; Arecaceae. The record is from RNAcentral.
AUAAUUCUCAAUCAAGUUAGCUUAUAUGUUCAAUCAAAUCAAGUACUUUCAAAUUUGACAUAUAAAUAUAGGUCAAUUCCUUCUUACUUUGUCUGACUUGUGUGCAUGACUCCAUAGGUUCAAACACUAAGCCAGUAGCACAGGAACCAAUUCCUGCACUAAUCGAGAUACCAUCCAGCAAUGGUUUCCGAUGUCCAGAU